GGAUCAUUACAAGUUGACCCCGGCCCUCGGGCCGGGAAGUUCACAACCCUUUGUUGUCCGACUCUGUUGCCUCCGGGGCGACCCUGCCUCCGGGCGGGGGCCCCGGGUGGACACUUCAAACUCUUGCGUAACUUUGCAGUCUGAGUAAAUUUAAUUAAUAAAUUAAAACUUUCAACAACGGAUCUCUUGGUUCUGGCAUCGAUGAAGAACGCAGCGAAAUGCGAUAAGUAAUGUGAAUUGCAGAAUUCAGUGAAUCAUCGAAUCUUUGAACGCACAUUGCGCCCCCUGGUAUUCCGGGGGGCAUGCCUGUUCGAGCGUCAUUUCACCACUCAAGCCUCGCUUGGUAUUGGGCGACGCGGUCCGCCGCGCGCCUCAAAUCGACCGGCUGGGUCUUCCGUCCCCUCAGCGUUGUGGAAACUAUUCGCUAAAGGGUGCCGCGGGAGGUCACGCCGCAAAACAACCCCAUUUCUAAGGUUGACCUCGGAUCAGGUAGGGAUACCCGCUGAACUUAAGCAUAU
RNAcentral lists this ribosomal RNA (518 nucleotides) under Cladosporium sp. SQU-MA25. RNAcentral describes it as "eukaryotic LSU rRNA". The stretch from base 167 to 320 matches the Rfam family "5.8S ribosomal RNA". The record is from RNAcentral. Lineage: Eukaryota; Fungi; Ascomycota; Dothideomycetes; Cladosporiales; Cladosporiaceae.